RNAcentral lists this ribosomal RNA (751 nucleotides) under Sinomonas flava. RNAcentral's name for it is "bacterial SSU rRNA". It matches the Rfam family "Bacterial small subunit ribosomal RNA", at positions 137 to 895 of the family's 1533-position model. The record is from RNAcentral. Lineage: Bacteria; Bacillati; Actinomycetota; Actinomycetes; Micrococcales; Micrococcaceae.
UCUGGGAUAAGCCUGGGAAACUGGGUCUAAUACCGGAUAGGACCCUCUGCCGCAUGGUGGGGGGUGGAAAGCCUUGUGCGGUCUUGGAUGGGCUCGCGGCCUAUCAGCUUGUUGGUGGGGUGAUGGCCUACCAAGGCGACGACGGGUAGCCGGCCUGAGAGGGUGACCGGCCACACUGGGACUGAGACACGGCCCAGACUCCUACGGGAGGCAGCAGUGGGGAAUAUUGCACAAUGGGCGCAAGCCUGAUGCAGCGACGCCGCGUGGGGGAUGACGGCCUUCGGGUUGUAAACCCCUUUCGGCAGGGAACAAGCCUUUCGGGGUGAGGGUACCUGCGGAAGAAGCGCCGGCUAACUACGUGCCAGCAGCCGCGGUAAUACGUAGGGCGCGAGCGUUAUCCGGAAUUAUUGGGCGUAAAGAGCUCGUAGGCGGUUUGUCGCGUCUGCUGUGAAAGCCCGGGGCUCAACCCCGGGUCUGCAGUGGGUACGGGCAGGCUGGAGUGCAGUAGGGGAGACUGGAAUUCCUGGUGUAGCGGUGAAAUGCGCAGAUAUCAGGAGGAACACCGAUGGCGAAGGCAGGUCUCUGGGCUGUAACUGACGCUGAGGAGCGAAAGCAUGGGGAGCGAACAGGAUUAGAUACCCUGGUAGUCCAUGCCGUAAACGUUGGGCACUAGGUGUGGGGGCCAUUCCACGGUUUCCGCGCCGCAGCUAACGCAUUAAGUGCCCCGCCUGGGGAGUACGGCCGCAAGGCU